AGAGUUUGAUCAUGGCUCAGAUUGAACGCUGGCGGCGUGCCUAACACAUGCAAGUCGAACGAGAAAGUGGUAGCAAUACCAUGAGUAAAGUGGCGCACGGGUGAGUAACACGUGACUAACCUACCCUGGAGUGGGGGGAUAACUGAGGGAAACCUUAGCUAAUACCGCAUAAUACCCACGGGUCAAAGGAGCAAUUCGCUCUGGGAGGGGGUCGCGGCCGAUUAGUUAGUUGGCGGGGUAACGGCCCACCAAGACGAUGAUCGGUAUCCGGCCUGAGAGGGCGCACGGACACACUGGAACUGAAACACGGUCCAGACUCCUACGGGAGGCAGCAGUGGGGAAUUUUGCGCAAUGGGGGAAACCCUGACGCAGCAACGCCGCGUGGAGGAUGAAGUCCUUCGGGACGUAAACUCCUUUCGAUCGGGACGAUUAUGACGGUACCGGAAGAAGAAGCCCCGGCUAACUUCGUGCCAGCAGCCGCGGUAAUACGAGGGGGGCGAGCGUUGUUCGGAAUUAUUGGGCGUAAAGGGUGCGUAGGCGGCUUGGUAAGUCUUAUGUGAAAUCUAUGGGCUCAACUCAUAGACUGCAUGAGAAACUGCCGGGCUCGAGUGUGGGAGAGGUGAGUGGAAUUCCCGGUGUAGCGGUGAAAUGCGUAGAUAUCGGGAGGAACCCUAUGGCGAAAGCGGCUCACUGGACCACAACUGACGCUGAUGCACGAAAGCUAGGGGAGCAAACAGGAUUAGAUACCCCCGUAGUCC
Molecule: ribosomal RNA, 758 nt
Filed under: uncultured bacterium
Lineage: Bacteria
Description: bacterial SSU rRNA
Rfam family: Bacterial small subunit ribosomal RNA
Source: RNAcentral